GUGCCAGCAGCCGCGGUAAUACCGGCAGCCCGAGUGAUGGCCGAUCUUAUUGGGCCUAAAGCGUCCGUAGCUGGCUGCGCAAGUCCGUCGGGAAAUCCACUCGCUCAACGCGUGGGCGUCUAGCGGAAACUGCCUGGCUUGGGGCCGGAGGACUCGAGGGGUACGUCCGGGGUAGGAGUGAAAUCCCGUAAUCCCGGACGGACUACCGAUGGCGAAAGCACUCUGAGAAGACGGCUUCGACAGUGAGGGACGAAAGCUCGGGUCUCAAACCGGAUUAGAAACCCCGGUAGUCC
This 293-nucleotide ribosomal RNA is filed under the name uncultured bacterium. RNAcentral describes it as "partial 16S ribosomal RNA". It matches the Rfam family "Archaeal small subunit ribosomal RNA", at positions 455 to 747 of the family's 1478-position model. The record is from RNAcentral.